CCUUAUCACUUUUCCAGCCCAGCUAUCUAUUAAAUGUUUGUUGGACGGAGAACUGAUAAGGG
MicroRNA precursor from Amphilophus citrinellus (Midas cichlid), 62 nucleotides. NCBI's taxonomy places the organism in Eukaryota, Metazoa, Chordata, Actinopteri, Cichliformes, Cichlidae. The record is from Ensembl.